Molecule: transfer RNA, 85 nt
Filed under: Felis catus (domestic cat)
Lineage: Eukaryota; Metazoa; Chordata; Mammalia; Carnivora; Felidae
Rfam family: tRNA
About the family: Transfer RNA (tRNA) molecules are approximately 80 nucleotides in length. Their secondary structure includes four short double-helical elements and three loops (D, anti-codon, and T loops).
Source: Rfam by way of RNAcentral
GCCUGGGUGGCUCAGUAAGUUGAGCGUCUGACUUUAGCUCAGGUUGUGAUCUCACAGUUCAUGGGUUGGAGCCCCACACUGGGCU